GAAACUCGGUGGUAGAGCAUCUGCUUUGCAUGCAGGAGGUCCCAGGUUCAAUGUCUGGCAUCUCCA
This is a non-coding RNA of Podarcis lilfordi (Lilford's wall lizard), 66 nucleotides long. The record is from the annotation of a GenBank genome assembly. Lineage: Eukaryota; Metazoa; Chordata; Lepidosauria; Squamata; Lacertidae.